CAACCCCCCAAGCCCUGGCUGCUUGGUGUUGGGGCUUAAUCUGCAGCGCCUUUACGGCGGCUGCAGGCCCCUAAUUACAGUGGCGGACCCACCGAGGCCCCGAGCGCAGUAGACCCAAUCUCGCUCAGGGGGUUUCCGGGUACGUGUGUCAGUCGAGAUCUUGCCAUCGUGCCAAA
This 176-nucleotide unclassified non-coding RNA is filed under the name uncultured Sordariales. RNAcentral describes it as "sequence contains ITS2". Lineage: Eukaryota; Fungi; Ascomycota; Sordariomycetes; Sordariales. The record is from RNAcentral.